CAGCAGCCGCGGGAACACGUAGGGUGCAAGCGUUGUCCGGAAUUAUUGGGCGUAAAGAGCUCGUAGGCGGUUUGUCGCGUCUGCUGUGAAAUCCCGAGGCUCAACCUCGGGCUUGCAGUGGGUACGGGCAGACUAGAGUGCGGUAGGGGAGAUUGGAAUUCCUGGUGUAGCGGUGGAAUGCGCAGAUAUCAGGAGGAACACCGAUGGCGAAGGCAGAUCUCUGGGCCGUAACUGACGCUGAGGAGCGAAAGCGUGGGGAGCGAACAGGAUUAGAUACCCGUGUAGUCCCUGUCUCUUAUAC
Molecule: ribosomal RNA, 301 nt
Filed under: uncultured bacterium
Lineage: Bacteria
Description: partial 16S ribosomal RNA
Rfam family: Bacterial small subunit ribosomal RNA
Source: RNAcentral